Molecule: transfer RNA, 76 nt
Filed under: Frankia torreyi
Lineage: Bacteria; Bacillati; Actinomycetota; Actinomycetes; Frankiales; Frankiaceae
Also listed under: 22 other names
Description: tRNA-Lys
Rfam family: tRNA
About the family: Transfer RNA (tRNA) molecules are approximately 80 nucleotides in length.
Source: RNAcentral
GCGCCGUUAGCUCAAUUGGCAGAGCAGCGGACUCUUAAUCCGCGGGUUCGGGGUUCAAGUCCCUGACGGCGCACCC